Molecule: long non-coding RNA, 972 nt
Filed under: Sparus aurata (gilthead seabream)
Lineage: Eukaryota; Metazoa; Chordata; Actinopteri; Spariformes; Sparidae
Description: lncRNA (ENSSAUG00010011019.1)
Source: RNAcentral
ACUGUCAGCCGCUACGAUGUCAAACCCACGUCGGUAGUUUUGUGGACGUUAACGGUUUUCCAAAAGAUAGCUCUCCUCCAAACAACUGUGUCAUACAGAAUACAAGAUGCAGCCAAGGACCCCAGGCUGGGACUCCAACCGAGAGCAAGGACAAACCCUCAAUGAGUGGGAACCUGUAUCUCCACCAUCUGAGCUAAACAGCAUUUCAUGAUAACUGGACUCUCAGGUUGGAUCGUCGGAAGCCACGCAAAAUAAGUAACGCCCCCAGAUUUUCUGACGUAUCCAGGUGAUGCGUGCCAAAAGGGGCGGCCUCGCUCGUUUCCCGCGCGAAGUUAAUGCAUUUCCCUCCAAAACUGUAGAUGCUUUUAUUAAUGCUGAGGGAUCAUCACUCUGGUCUUUCUCUGAGGACACGAACACGGUGAACAGUGGGACGUGUCUUCAGCUUCAGGUGGAACAGCUCUGACCUGUAUGAUGAUCAGACCUGGAGAGGAGAGACACCUGGUCCAGCCAGGUCAGUGCAGUGGAGGUGCAAAAAUUAAAGGCAGAAAGUGUGAGAUUUGUCAGUUGCUGUUCAUUAAUACUCUAGGAUCAGUAAAUGAUUCUAGAGGGUAGUCGAGUCUCAUUCACAGGUCGUUGAAUACCGACAGUUUGGGUUGGUAGAAGCCACUAUAGUGUCUCUGUUGGGACACUACUCUUUAAAUUUAGUGGUAUUUUACAUGUUUUUUGUUUACUGAGAGGGAAUAUAAACAGCCUGUCUGUUCAGAACGCCUGCAUUUAUUUGAUCUCAUUUAUAUAUAAUAUAAAUGAUAUAAUUCUAUUUUAUUUAACACGUAUAUCUCCACUGUUCAGCCACAAUAUUAAAACAACUGACAAGUGAAGUGAGCAUUAAUCAUCUUGUUACAAUCAAAUGUUCUGCUGGGAAACUUUGAGUUCUGUCAUUUCUGUGGAGCCUCUUUGACAAACACCACCCAC